AUGAACUGCGGCCCGCCGGACCAGCUGCCGCCGGCGACGGCGGGAUUCCUCAACCUCAACUGGGACAGCUCCAUGGACGCGUCCGCGGGGGGCCGCCCCUCGCCGGCCUCUGGCUCCGCGGCGGCCACCGAGGGGCUCGCGCUCCACGGGAUCUCGCCGCGGCCGCAGCAGCACUACGGCGCCGGCACGCCGCUCGGCUCGCCCACCAAGCUCAACCUCUCCAUGAUGGGCCAGUACCGCCACCACAACCACCACUACCCGACGCCGCCGCCGCCGCAGGUGGGUGGCCUGCCCACCCUGGAGAACCUCAUGCCCAUGGCCUCCCUGGACCAGUUCCUCGCCGACCCGGGCUUCGCCGAGCGCGCCGCCAGGCUCUCCGGCUUCGACGCCCGCGGCGGCUACGGCGCCGGCCCGCCGCAAUUCGGCCUCCCGGACGACGGCCCCGUCGGCGCGCUCAAGGAGCUGGAGCUCGGGAGCGCCCGGGACGACUCGUCGGUGUCCGAUCCGGCGUCGGCCGGCGCGGGGAUGGCGCUCAAGGGCGCCUCCGACGGCAAUGCGAGGAAGCGGAAGGCCGCCGGCGGCAGCAAGGGGAAGGGCAAGGACGCCUCCGUGUCCACCACCUCCGCCAAGGAUCUCCUCGCCAAGGAGGACUCGGCGUCGAAGCGCUGCAAGUCCACGUCCAUGGAGGACGCCGAGGAGAAUUCCGGCAAGGGGAAGGCCGCGCAGAGCAGCAGCGAGAACGGCGGGAGGAAGCAGGGCAAGGACGGCGCCUCCAAGCUCCCGGAGCCGCCCAAGGACUUCAUCCACGUCCGGGCCCGGCGCGGCGAGGCCACGGACAGCCAUAGCCUGGCCGAGAGGGUGAGAAGAGAGAAGAUCAGCCAGCGGAUGAAGCUGCUGCAGGACCUCGUGCCCGGCUGCAACAAGGUGGUGGGCAAGGCCGUCAUGCUCGACGAGAUCAUAAACUACGUGCAGUCGCUGCAGCGGCAAGUCGAGUUUCUGUCCAUGAAGCUGGCCACGGUGAACCCGCAGCUGGACUUCAACAACCUGCCCAGCCUCCUCGCCAAAGAUAUGCAGCAGCAGUCAUGUGGGCAGCUGCAGCAGGGCUCGUCGCAUUUCCCGCUGGAUGCGUCGGGCGCGCCGCUCCCCUACAUGGGCCAGGGGAGCGGCGACCCUCUCGGCUGCGGCAUGUCCGACGGCGGCGGCAUGGGCGACGAUCAGGGCGCCAUGCACCCGGUGGACCAGGCCUUCUGCCGGCCCAUGGGUUCCUCGCAGCAGCAGCAGCACUUCCUCAGCGACGCCGCCUCUCAGGUUGGGGCUUUCUGGCAAGAUCUGCAGAGCGUGGUUCAGAUGGACAUGGGGCAGAGCCAGGAGAUCGCCACUUCUUCCAACAGCUACGACGCAGGUUCGUUGCAGACGGUCCACAUGAAAAUGGAGCUUUGA
This 1440-nucleotide ribosomal RNA is filed under the name Triticum aestivum (bread wheat). Its description in RNAcentral is "partial small subunit ribosomal RNA". Lineage: Eukaryota; Viridiplantae; Streptophyta; Magnoliopsida; Poales; Poaceae. The record is from RNAcentral.